AGAGUUUGAUCAUGGCUCAGAUUGAACGCUGGCGGCAUGCUUUACACAUGCAAGUCGGACGGCAGCACGGAGAAGCUUGCUUCUUGGGUGGCGAGUGGCGAACGGGUGAGUAACAUAUCGGAACGUACCGAGUAAUGGGGGAUAACUAAUCGAAAGAUUAGCUAAUACCGCAUAUUCUCUGAGGAGGAAAGCAGGGGACCUUCGGGCCUUGCGUUAUUCGAGCGGCCGAUAUCUGAUUAGCUAGUUGGUGGGGUAAAGGCCUACCAAGGCGACGAUCAGUAGCGGGUCUGAGAGGAUGAUCCGCCACACUGGGACUGAGACACGGCCCAGACUCCUACGGGAGGCAGCAGUGGGGAAUUUUGGACAAUGGGCGCAAGCCUGAUCCAGCCAUGCCGCGUGUCUGAAGAAGGCCUUCGGGUUGUAAAGGACUUUUGUCAGGGAAGAAAAGGCUGUUGCUAAUACCGACAGCUGAUGACGGUACCUGAAGAAUAAGCACCGGCUAACUACGUGCCAGCAGCCGCGGUAAUACGUAGGGUGCGAGCGUUAAUCGGAAUUACUGGGCGUAAAGCGAGCGCAGACGGUUACUUAAGCAGGAUGUGAAAUCCCCGGGCUCAACCUGGGAACUGCGUUCUGAACUGGGUGACUAGAGUGUGUCAGAGGGAGGUAGAAUUCCACGUGUAGCAGUGAAAUGCGUAGAGAUGUGGAGGAAUACCGAUGGCGAAGGCAGCCUCCUGGGAUAACACUGACGUUCAUGCUCGAAAGCGUGGGUAGCAAACAGGAUUAGAUACCCUGGUAGUCCAA
Molecule: ribosomal RNA, 801 nt
Filed under: uncultured bacterium
Lineage: Bacteria
Description: bacterial SSU rRNA
Rfam family: Bacterial small subunit ribosomal RNA
Source: RNAcentral